UACGUAGGGACCGAGCGUUGUCCGGAAUCAUUGGGCGUAAAGAGCGUGUAGGCGGCCACUUAAGUCCUGCGUGAAAUCUUGCGGCUCAACCGCAAGCGGUCGUGGGAAACUGGGUGGCUAGAGUGCGGGAGAGGAGAGUGGAAUUCCUGGUGUAGCGGUGGAAUGCGCAGAUAUCAGGAAGAACACCCGUGGCGAAGGCGGCUCUCUGGAACGCAACUGACGCUGAGAGACGAAAGCUAGGGGAGCGAAUGGG
This 253-nucleotide ribosomal RNA is filed under the name uncultured bacterium. Its description in RNAcentral is "partial 16S ribosomal RNA". It matches the Rfam family "Bacterial small subunit ribosomal RNA", at positions 524 to 776 of the family's 1533-position model. The record is from RNAcentral.